UUGGGAAUAUUGGACAAUGGGGGAAACCCUGAUCCAGCCAUGCCGCGUGAGUGAAGAAGGUCUUCGGAUUGUAAAGCUCUUUUGUACGGGAAGAUGAUGACGGUACCGUAAGAAUAAGCACCGGCUAACUUCGUGCCAGCAGCCGCGGUAAUACGAAGGGUGCAAGCGUUGUUCGGAUUUACUGGGCGUAAAGGGCGCGUAGGCGGAUAGAUUAGUUAGGGGUGAAAUGCCAGGGCUUAACCUUGGAACUGCCUUUAAAACGGUCUAUCUAGAAAGUAAGAGGGGAUAAUGGAAUACCUAGUGUAGAGGUGGAAUUUGUAGAUAUUAGGUGGAACACCAGUGGCGAAAGCGAUUAUCUGGCUUACUCUUGACGCUGAGGCGCGAAAGCAUGGGGAUCAAACA
RNAcentral lists this ribosomal RNA (402 nucleotides) under uncultured Alphaproteobacteria bacterium. RNAcentral's name for it is "partial 16S ribosomal RNA". It matches the Rfam family "Bacterial small subunit ribosomal RNA", at positions 355 to 774 of the family's 1533-position model. The record is from RNAcentral. Lineage: Bacteria; Pseudomonadati; Pseudomonadota; Alphaproteobacteria.